This is a long non-coding RNA of Sorghum bicolor (sorghum), 435 nucleotides long. RefSeq lists it as uncharacterized. The transcript has 3 exons. Lineage: Eukaryota; Viridiplantae; Streptophyta; Magnoliopsida; Poales; Poaceae. The record is from RefSeq and is a predicted model, not a curated record.
AUAAUUUUUCUCUAAACAGAUUUUGUUGCCUCUGAAAUAAACAACUGUGCUCUGUUGCAAGAAGGAAUUGUUUCGAUACUAAAAGGGAAAGGUUGUACCGGUUAGCUUGCGAGAUAUGCUGAUUAGGUGAUGGCUUGGUGGAAAGUCAUGCUUGGACAGGAAGGGAGUGGCAAUUGCCUUUUGCACAACAAAAAAACAGUUUUUAGUCAACGAAAGAUUGUUCCUAACCAUCCUUGUACUGAACUUUCUCAACCUGACAUGUGAUUGCAGCUGAUGUCAAUCAUUUGCCUAUUCUCGGUUGAUAUUAGAGAAUGAAUAGGAUUCCACCAUUCUUGUAUUGCAGUUAAUUUGACCUUAAGGCAUGGAUACUAUUUUUUGGCCUGAAACAAUUAUACUGCCUUCUUUCCUGCAAUGUAAUUUGGUUGAGUUUGUAUA